RNAcentral lists this unclassified non-coding RNA (1124 nucleotides) under Hevea brasiliensis (rubber tree). Lineage: Eukaryota; Viridiplantae; Streptophyta; Magnoliopsida; Malpighiales; Euphorbiaceae. The record is from RNAcentral.
AAGAAAGAAGGGAGAUGAAGUUUUUGAAGCCUCCUGUUGAAGUAUUGGCGAUCAUGGCGGGAGAAAGCAAGAAUUGGGAAACAGUGAAUUGAUAUGCUUUCCGGAUAAUAUAGUAUCUUUUUCAUUCCUCCACAAAGCCCAGUCUGCCUGCCCAAGCCCAGCUCACAUUUGAAGAAAGGUUCUGCAUCUGCUCUACGUUUUCUUCUCAUCUUUCUCAUCCGUCCAGCGCCUCAUGCCCGAUCCCGAAUCUCACUCUCGCCCAUCCGACCAUCUAGCUCGUACUCUAGACGCCGACGCCGACUGGUCUUGCCUGCGCCUCCUUUAUUGUGUCCGACAGACGUUGUUUCCUGCUCUCCUCUUCUUCUUGUCGAUUCAAGCUUUUAUAGCUUCCAAAACUGCUGCUUGUGUUGGUGUGCUUCGCCGCCAUUGCCUGUUAUGUUAAGCUGAUAGAAUUUUUGGAGCUAGAAAUAUCGUGAAGUUCCUACAGUUUUAUGUGACUAAUUCGAGAAGCAACUUCAGUUUUAUUACAGUGGGGUUUUUAGCUUCUUAUUCUGAAGCAGGAAUUUCUCAAUUUUCUUUUUAAUUUAAGCACUUGAUUUGUUCAAAUUAAUUCGAUUACUCAAAUGAAUACUUUGUGGGUUAAUGGAAUUAGUGAUAAAAUUCACUUAAGAUUGGUUUCUUGUCAAUUUUUAUACUGAGAACUACCCCGAUUGCACAGCUAGUGCACUACUUCUCCUCUCUUUCUCGUUCUGUUGCUCUGAUCUCAAGUCCAAAUACAAAUUCAAAUCCAAGUGUACUUGGGUGUAUCUAACCCUAAGAUUCGGCUACAAUAUCUGCUGGUAUUUCUUGUUGGUCUCAUUUUGAAGGAAAUUGAAGAAUCAUAGUCCAAUGAAGAUGUAAUAAUGCAGAAAAACACCCAAUGCUGGUGCACUUACCAAUUUUGAAGUUCUCGACUUCCUGAAGGCAAGAGGUGCUUCAAAGGAUUCCUCAAGGGUUAUUGCUCCCGUAGCAUCAUCAGAAUAUAAGGUUUAUGAUUAUUUGGUGGAGACUCCUGCUUCCAGGCAAACGAGAGAGCAAAUCUAUGAAUUUAUGAAGAAGUGUAAGACAUACAAACUUGCAAAAGC